ACGUACUUCUAUAUUGUGUUGAUUAACGUCUUUUCACAUUAAUUUUUGACAUAUUAUAUUCAUAGUUUUAACGACGACAUACUGGGAUUGCUUGCGUACCUUUACUGGAGUUAUUCUUUCUCUGAUACCAGCCACACAACACCGCGUUAAGUCAUUCCGUGCUUUGAUAGCAAGAAGAGCUGAAAUAGCUAGAAGGAAAACAAAACAAUGAUUGACUAUUAAAUGCCUUUAUUCAAUUGAGUUUUAGAGCUUAUACUGCAAUUCGGAGACUGUAAACGCUGUUAUAAAGACUAAUAUAAUCGUUAUUUAAUUAGUAAAAAUGAUCCUAUUAUGUUAAAUUUUUUUUUAACAUUUUAUUAUUUAUAAUAAGUUCAAAUUUAUCUUAAAAGUCCUUUAAGAUCAAAAAUAUACGGUAAACAAGCUUCUAAUGUUUUAGUUUGAUCUUACUUUUUCGUAGGAAAAGAAAUAUAGAUAUUUGUUUCUGAAUCAUCUAUUAGCAUGAAAAUGUUGGCCAGGCAAUAAUUUCUAACUGUGUUUUAUGUCUAAUAAUUAAAUCUUUAAAAUCGUUGAGGGUCACAUUGUCGACGUACAAGUUCAAUUGAAUAAAUAAUCAGUUGUGCAAUAAAUUGGAUUUGCAUUAAUGCUCAAUUCAACGACUACUGCCCAAGGUUCUAUAUUAAUAGAAAAAUAAAUAUUU
This is a non-coding RNA of Schizosaccharomyces pombe (fission yeast), 697 nucleotides long. Lineage: Eukaryota; Fungi; Ascomycota; Schizosaccharomycetes; Schizosaccharomycetales; Schizosaccharomycetaceae. The record is from the annotation of a GenBank genome assembly.